RNAcentral lists this ribosomal RNA (667 nucleotides) under uncultured bacterium. RNAcentral's name for it is "bacterial SSU rRNA". It matches the Rfam family "Bacterial small subunit ribosomal RNA", at positions 102 to 783 of the family's 1533-position model. The record is from RNAcentral.
ACGGGUGAGUAACGCGUAGGUAACCUGCCUGGUAGCGGGGGAUAACUAUUGGAAACGAUAGCUAAUACCGCAUAAGAGUAGAUAUCGCAUGAUAACUGCUUAAAAGGUGCAAUUGCAUCACUACCAGAUGGACCUGCGUUGUAUUAGCUAGUUGGUGAGGUAACGGCUCACCAAGGCAACGAUACAUAGCCGACCUGAGAGGGUGAUCGGCCACACUGGGACUGAGACACGGCCCAGACUCCUACGGGAGGCAGCAGUGGGGAAUAUUGCACAAUGGGCGAAAGCCUGAUGCAGCAACGCCGCGUGAACGAUGAAGGUCUUCGGAUCGUAAAGUUCUGUUGCAGGGGAAGAUAAUGACGGUACCCUGUGAGGAAGCCCCGGCUAACUACGUGCCAGCAGCCGCGGUAAUACGUAGGGGGCUAGCGUUAUCCGGAUUUACUGGGCGUAAAGGGUGCGUAGGUGGUCCUUCAAGUCGGUGGUUAAAGGCUACGGCUCAACCGUAGUAAGCCGCCGAAACUGGAGGACUUGAGUGCAGGAGAGGAAAGUGGAAUUCCCAGUGUAGCGGUGAAAUGCGUAGAUAUAUGGAGGAACACCGGUGGCGAAAGCGGCUCUCUGGUCUGUAACUGACGCUGAGGCUCGAAAGCGUGGGGAGCAAACAGGAUUAGAU